CUACGGGUCGCUCCAGUGGGGAAUAUUGCACAAUGGAGGAAACUCUGAUGCAGCAACGCCGCGUGGAGGAUGACACUUUUCGGAGCGUAAACUCCUUUUAUAUAGGAAGAAGAUGACGGUACUAUAUGAAUAAGCGCCGGCUAACUCCGUGUCAGCAGCCGCGGUAAUACGGAGGGCGCAAGCGUUACUCGGAAUCACUGGGCGUAAAGAGCGUGUAGGCGGAUUAAAAAGUCAGAAGUGAAAUCCUAUAGCUUAACUAUAGAACUGCUUCUGAAACUCUUAAUCUAGAAUAUGGGAGAGGUAGAUGGAAUUUCUGGUGUAGGGGUAAAAUCCGUAGAGAUCAGAAGGAAUACCGAUUGCGAAGGCGAUCUACUAGAACAUUAUUGACGCUGAGACGCGAAAGCGUGGGGAGCAAACAGGAUUAGAUACCCUGGUAGUC
This 439-nucleotide ribosomal RNA is filed under the name uncultured bacterium. Its description in RNAcentral is "partial 16S ribosomal RNA". It matches the Rfam family "Bacterial small subunit ribosomal RNA", at positions 339 to 795 of the family's 1533-position model. The record is from RNAcentral.